Molecule: ribosomal RNA, 424 nt
Filed under: uncultured bacterium
Lineage: Bacteria
Description: bacterial SSU rRNA
Rfam family: Bacterial small subunit ribosomal RNA
Source: RNAcentral
UGAGGAAUAUUGGUCAAUGGACGAGAGUCUGAACCAGCCAAGUAGCGUGAAGGAUGACUGCCCUAUGGGUUGUAAACUUCUUUUAUAUGGGAAUAAAGUUUUCCACGUGUGGAAUUUUGUAUGUACCAUAUGAAUAAGGAUCGGCUAACUCCGUGCCAGCAGCCGCGGUAAUACGGAGGAUCCGAGCGUUAUCCGGAUUUAUUGGGUUUAAAGGGAGCGUAGGUGGACAGUUAAGUCAGUUGUGAAAGUUUGCGGCUCAACCGUAAAAUUGCAGUUGAUACUGGUAGUCUUGAGUGCAGCAGAGGUAGGCGGAAUUCGUGGUGUAGCGGUGAAAUGCUUAGAUAUCACGAAGAACUCCGAUUGCGAUGGCAGCUUACUGGACUGUAACUGACGCUGAGGUUCGAAAGCGUGGGUAGCAAACAGG